Molecule: ribosomal RNA, 464 nt
Filed under: uncultured bacterium
Lineage: Bacteria
Description: partial 16S ribosomal RNA
Rfam family: Bacterial small subunit ribosomal RNA
Source: RNAcentral
CUACGGGAUGCAGCAGUGGGGAAUAUUGCACAAUGGGCGCAAGCCUGAUGCAGCCAUGCCGCGUGUAUGAAGAAGGCCUUCGGGUUGUAAAGUACUUUCAGCGGGGAGGAAGGGAGUAAAGUUAAUACCUUUGCUCAUUGACGUUACCCGCAGAAGAAGCACCGGCUAACUCCGUGCCAGCAGCCGCGGUAAUACGGAGGGUGCAAGCGUUAAUCGGAAUUACUGGGCGUAAAGCGCACGCAGGCGGUUUGUUAAGUCAGAUGUGAAAUCCCCAGGCUCAACCUGGGAACUGCAUCUGAUACUGGCAAGCUUGAGGCUCGUAGAGGGGGGUAGAAUUCCAGGUGUAGCGGUGAAAUGCGUAGAGAUCUGGAGGAAUACCGGUGGCGAAGGCGGCCCCCUGGACGAAGACUGACGCUCAGGUGCGAAAGCGUGGGGAGCAAACAGGAUUAGAUACCCCUGUAGUC